UACUGACGCUCAUGCACGAAAGCGUGGGUAGCAAACAGGAUUAGAUACCCUGGUAGUCCACGCCCUAAACGAUGUCAACUAGGUGUUGGGUGGGUAAAACCAUUUAGUACCGGAGCUAACGCGUGAAGUUGACCGCCUGGGGAGUACGGCCGCAAGGUUAAAACUCAAAGGAAUUGACGGGGACCCGCACAAGCGGUGGAUGAUGUGGAUUAAUUCGAUGCAACGCGAAAAACCUUACCUACCCUUGACAUGUCCAGAAGCUCUCAGAGAUUUGAGUGUGCCCGAAAGGGAACUGGAACACAGGUGCUGCAUGGCUGUCGUCAGCUCGUGUCGUGAGAUGUUGGGUUAAGUCCCGCAACGAGCGCAACCCUUGUCGUUAAUUGCCAUCAUUCAGUUGGGCACUUUAACGAGACUGCCGGUGACAAACCGGAGGAAGGUGGGGAUGACGUCAAGUCCUCAUGGCCCUUAUGGGUAGGGCUUCACACGUCAUACAAUGGUCGGUACAAAGGGUUGCCAACCCGCGAGGGGGAGCUAAUCCCAGAAAGCCGAUCGUAGUCCGGAUCGUAGGCUGCAACUCGCCUGCGUGAAGUCGGAAUCGCUAGUAAUCGUGGAUCAGCAUGUCACGGUGAAUACGUUCCCGGGUCUUGUACACACCGCCCGUCACACCAUGGGAGCGGGUUCCGCCAGAAGUAGGUAGCCUAACCGCAAGGAGGGCGCUUAC
This 721-nucleotide ribosomal RNA is filed under the name uncultured bacterium. RNAcentral's name for it is "bacterial SSU rRNA". It matches the Rfam family "Bacterial small subunit ribosomal RNA", at positions 738 to 1457 of the family's 1533-position model. The record is from RNAcentral.